Molecule: ribosomal RNA, 194 nt
Filed under: Prunus dulcis (almond)
Lineage: Eukaryota; Viridiplantae; Streptophyta; Magnoliopsida; Rosales; Rosaceae
Description: rRNA LSU_rRNA_archaea
Rfam family: Bacterial large subunit ribosomal RNA
Source: Rfam by way of RNAcentral
AGGACGCUUUCAAAGGCGAAAGGCCAUGGGGAGAUAUCGUAUGAUCCAUGGAUCUUCGAUCAGGAAACCGUAUCCAAGCUCCGAGGCUAGUCUGCACUCUUUGGACUUUUGAAACUUAGUGAAUUGAAACAUCUGAGUAGCUAAAGGAAGGGAAAUCAAUCGAGAGCUCGUUAGUAGUAGCGAGCGAAAACGGC